UACAGAGGUCCCAAGCGUUGUUCGGAUUCACUGGGCGUAAAGGGUGCGUAGGCGGUCGGGUAAGUCUGAUGUGAAAUCUCACAGCUUAACUGUGAAACUGCAUUGGAUACUAUUCGGCUUGAGAGUUGGAGGGGGGCGUGGAAUUCCGGGUGGAGCGGUGAAAUGCGUAGAGAUCCGGAGGAACACCGACGGCGCAGGCAGCGCCCUGGCUGUGAUAGCUGACACUGAGGCACGAAAGCUGGGGGAGCAAACAGG
This 255-nucleotide ribosomal RNA is filed under the name uncultured bacterium. Its description in RNAcentral is "partial 16S ribosomal RNA". It matches the Rfam family "Bacterial small subunit ribosomal RNA", at positions 524 to 776 of the family's 1533-position model. The record is from RNAcentral.